Molecule: long non-coding RNA, 2942 nt
Filed under: Nicotiana benthamiana
Lineage: Eukaryota; Viridiplantae; Streptophyta; Magnoliopsida; Solanales; Solanaceae
Description: long non-coding RNA (NBEN_LNC008150)
Source: RNAcentral
UUUUAUUGGGCGAGGCUCAUCUCGUUUAUUUUAAAAGGACAAUCCUAAAAUGACUACAUUUUCUAAUUAAGUUUGUCUCUAAAAAAUGAAAGAGGAAAAGGUCCUAAUUAGUUUACACGCUUGAAAAGUUCGAGCCUUUUAUUAAUUAUUAGAUUAAGACAAAUGUUAAUGAAAAUGAAUAUUACCAAAAUUUGAAAUUAUAAAGAGAAUACGGAAUUGACCAAUAAUAUAUUCAAAAGAAUCUAAUUAUCCUAUAAUUAAUUUAAACACAUAUGGUUAGACGAAUAAACUAUUGCAAUUAAUUAUUUACAAUUAUUUGAAGCUAGAAUUAACCCCUCUUAUUAUUCCUUAUUCAAAAAGUUUAUUAAACUUAAAUAUUAACUCGUCUUGCUCAACUCGCACUUAUCGAAUUAAUGUUCUUAGCCAAUAUCGGACCCACAUGCAGAAAUCAUCAUUGAUAUAUUAAGUAAUUCUUAAUCAAGGAAUUCAACAUAACUGACUACAUCUUGGUUGUGGACUUUAUCCAAGACAACCUAAACAAUUGUCAAUUAACAAGGCUUAUAAAUUAGUUACAAGAUGACUCUAACGUUUUGGAGCAGAUUUACCUUAACUGCUUUUGAUUCCUAUUAACUCACAAUUAUUAUUAUUCCGUUUCCCAAAUUAACCAUAAGAAGAACCUAUCAACCUAUUUGCUAAUAUUGAAAGUUAAACUAAUCACUGAAGUGAGAUUAUACUUAUGCUAAUAAAUAACAAAUAACUACAACAUCCCUGCUUAUCUGUUUUUAACACAAUGCUAAAAUGGAACCAAUACUAAACCAUAGUAAGGCUAGAACCUGAUGAUUACAAAUUUGAUAGUCAUGAGACAGUCUAAAUCAUACAGCCUAGUUUUCAAUUCCACAAUGCAGACAGAAGUAUCAAUAUACUACUAACCAAGUUGUAAAAAUUAUCUAGACAUACAGAAUUGUUAAAAUAACAAAGCAAAAUCAGAAUUUUGGGCUUCGACUUCAUUUCAUGCUUUCAACAAGAGAUACUACAUCAAAUACAUCUCGAAAUAUACCUGGAAUUUAGAAAAAAUGAAGAGGAAGUAAGAUCAUGAGCAAUAGCAACAACACAACAACACAGCAAUAAGACCAGUAACAGAGCGGUAGCAGAAAUCACAAUGAACUUUCAACAUAAAACCAAAACACUCAACUAAACCCAUGUUCAAAACCCAACAAAAUAGCCCAGUAGCAGUUUCCACAGCAAAACAAGAAACCAGGAACUUAAUAAAGUAACACUCGGAACAAACAAUAGACCCAGGCAACAACAAUUGAAACCAAGCAAUACCUGAAAAACAACACAAGCAAGCAGAAGAGAAGCAGCCACAAAAGAAGCCUCACUUUCAGUGCCUAAAUUCUCACAAAUUAACUGACUUCUUGAUGUCAAAGUUCAGCCUUAGACUCUAUCUUUUAAGUUCUGAAAAUCUGAUCUCCCCUCAAUUCUUUCUCUCCCCCUUUUUCAUAACAGAUUGUUCCCCCCUUUAUACUAAAACUUAAACCCCUCUUUUACCACCUAAGUGGGCAUCCCACUAAUCCUUCUAAAUUAGCCUUAGUGUUCUAUCCACUAGCCCUUUUUAUUAACUUAUUCAAUCCCUUUUACCCCCACUAUGCUUUGUUACCCACUAUUGUAUUAGUUUAAUGACAAUUAACACCCCAUUAUUAUAUUACUAAUUAUCACAAAACUUUCCUAUUUUUAUUCCUAAUUUGCCCUUGAAAUACCCCAACUAUUACUUUAUUACCCUAAACUGAAGUUACAUCUAUGUAAAUUCAAAUCUGAAACUAAUUUUUUGUUAAACACCUAAAUUACUACAGCUAUAUCCAAUCUUUCUGCCAAUUGAAUUACUAAGGUUAAAUUAAGUUGAAACAAAAGAAAAGAACUUAAAUUAAAAUCAUCACAAAACUCAACAGAAGCAUAAAAACUGAAGCUAAAAUAUAAUCAAAAUCAAGACGGAUGCAGGGAUUAAACUAACACGAUUUUAACUCGAAUCUAUACAAGAAUGCCGGAUCGUUGUUAGUAUAUCGACAAUACCCUGAAGCUAAGAGCCCAAAAAAUCAAUAUAUACAACAUCUGACCCCAAACCAUUUGACGACAUUUAUUUAAACGAUUAUACUAACACAAUUGGUAACAAACAGACACGAUCACACAAACAGGGUGAUUCCUGUUUGGACAGAAAUAGGGGACCUAUUUAGACUAACUAAAUCUCCUAAAUUAAUUGAUCGAACGCAUAGAGUCUAACACAUACUCAUUUAGCAAAUGAAGAAAUUUGACCACAUAAAGGUCUAUGAAGAAGAGGCAGAACAAUUGACAGAAAGCCGGAAAAAUAAAAGUAAAAUAAACAACACAUGUGAAUAAUUAAAAAUAGAACAAAGGAAGAAGUAUUACCUCAGAAGAAAAAUCGGAAAACAAAAACAGACUCGGGCCAAAUUUGGACUUGAAAAUCUUUGAGGUCAAACGGACCUUAAUCGAGCGUUUUCAAUUGAAAACACUUCGACUAAGGUCCCUUGAACACCCAAAUUCUUCAAUUUGGAUAGAAAUCUGUCUUGAAUUUUUCUAGGGUUCUUGGGCUCGGAUUUAGGGCUUUAACAUUUUUGGGCAUAUUUUAACGGAACCAAAGUGAAUUUGGGGUUGAUUGGUGUAGGUUUCCGUUUAGCUCGAAUCUUCAAAUGAAGAUUUGAGAAGCUCUGAGAUGAUUCGAGCCAAACGGUUUGAGGAUUCGUGUUGGGGAUAGCUGGAGGGUCACAGUGUGUUAAUUUGGUGAUCAACGUCGUUUUUGCCGCGGGGUUUAAUGGUGGAGGAAAAGGGGGCGGCGCUAGGGUUUGCAUCAUCUCUGAAAGAGACGAUGAAUAGGGAUACGAGGGGGGUUUGGUUAGGGGGGCUGGGGUAGGAGAUUGGAUUUAUAUAGG